CACGGCACGAGAUUUUAAGCACAGCUUUAUCUCGUCACAUUACUUUAGCUAACCGUAAAGCUGGCAGUAUACUCGUUCUCACGGCAUGGUGAUUCUGGAUGAAUCCAUGAUUGGUGCAAUCGGAAUAAACUGCCAGUUGAAUUAAAGAA
This is a long non-coding RNA of Anguilla rostrata (American eel), 149 nucleotides long. RefSeq lists it as uncharacterized. The transcript has 2 exons. The record is from RefSeq and is a predicted model, not a curated record. Lineage: Eukaryota; Metazoa; Chordata; Actinopteri; Anguilliformes; Anguillidae.